AGGAUACUCUGUUGCUGCUGGGAAUUUUAAUAAAGACAACAUCCCAGAUUAUGUUGUUGGCGUCUGUGCACACCGCAGGCUCUGUCAAAAUAAUAAAGCAACUGUGCCCCUGCAAAUCAUGAA
Sinocyclocheilus grahami is the source of this 123-nucleotide long non-coding RNA. RefSeq lists it as uncharacterized. The transcript is spliced from 3 exons. The record is from RefSeq and is a predicted model, not a curated record. Lineage: Eukaryota; Metazoa; Chordata; Actinopteri; Cypriniformes; Cyprinidae.